Molecule: ribosomal RNA, 508 nt
Filed under: uncultured bacterium
Lineage: Bacteria
Description: partial 16S ribosomal RNA
Rfam family: Bacterial small subunit ribosomal RNA
Source: RNAcentral
ACUCAAAUGAAUUGACGGGGGCCCGCACAAGCGGUGGAACAUGUGGUUUAAUUCGAAGCAACGCGAAGAACCUUACCAGGGCUUGACAUCCAGAGAAUCUGUUUGAAAAGAUGGAGUGCCUUUCGGGGAACUCUGAGACAGGUGGUGCAUGGUUGUCGUCAGCUCGUGUCGUGAGAUGUUGGGUUAAGUCCCGCAACGAGCGCAACCCUCGUCGUUAGUUGCUGAUAGUGGUACACUACUAUUUAGCUCUCUAGCGAGACUGCCGGUGAUAAACCGGAGGAAGGUGGGGAUGACGUCAAAUCAUCAUGCCCCUUAUGCCCUGGGCUACACACGUGUUACAAUGGCCAAGACAACGAGCAGCCAGCCGGCGACGGUGAGCAAAUCUCUUAAACUUGGCCUCAGUUCGGAUCGUAGUCUGCAACUCGACUACGUGAAGUCGGAAUCGCUAGUAAACGCAGAUCAGCACGCUGCGUUGAAUACGUUCCCGGGCCUUGUACACACCGCCCGU